This 370-nucleotide ribosomal RNA is filed under the name uncultured bacterium. RNAcentral's name for it is "bacterial SSU rRNA". It matches the Rfam family "Bacterial small subunit ribosomal RNA", at positions 796 to 1165 of the family's 1533-position model. The record is from RNAcentral.
CACGCGGUAAACGAUGAGUGCUAGGUGUAGCGGGUAUCGACCCCUGCUGUGCCGGAGUUAACACAAUAAGCACUCCGCCUGGGGAGUACGGCCGCAAGGUUGAAACUCAAAGGAAUUGACGGGGGCCCGCACAAGCAGCGGAGCAUGUGGUUUAAUUCGAAGCAACGCGAAGAACCUUACCAGGUCUUGACAUCGAGGCAAAGCCGUAGAGAUACGGUGUUCAGCAAUGAAGCCGAAGACAGGUGGUGCAUGGUUGUCGUCAGCUCGUGUCGUGAGAUGUUGGGUUAAGUCCCGCAACGAGCGCAACCCUUAUUGUCAGUUACUAACGGGUAGAGCCGAGGACUCUGACGAGACUGCCGGGGACAACUCG